AUUGAACGCUGGCGGCAUGCCUUACACAUGCAAGUCGAACGGCAGCACGGGAGCAAUCCUGGUGGCGAGUGGCGAACGGGUGAGUAAUACAUCGGAACGUGUCCAGUAGUGGGGGAUAGCCCGGCGAAAGCCGGAUUAAUACCGCAUACGACCUACGGGUGAAAGCGGGGGAUCGCAAGACCUCGCGCUAUCGGAGCGGCCGAUGUCAGAUUAGCUAGUUGGUGGGGAAAGGCCUACCAAGGCGACGAUCUGUAGCUGGUCUGAGAGGACGACCAGCCACACUGGGACUGAGACACGGCCCAGACUCCUACGGGAGGCAGCAGUGGGGAAUUUUGGACAAUGGGCGCAAGCCUGAUCCAGCCAUGCCGCGUGCGGGAAGAAGGCCU
Molecule: ribosomal RNA, 386 nt
Filed under: uncultured bacterium
Lineage: Bacteria
Description: bacterial SSU rRNA
Rfam family: Bacterial small subunit ribosomal RNA
Source: RNAcentral